UACAGAGGUGGCAAGCGUUGUUCGGAAUUACUGGGCGUAAAGCGUGCGUAGGCGGUUCUCCAAGUCCGUUGUGAAAGCCCCGGGCUCAACCUGGGAAUGGCAGUGGAAACUAGGGGACUGGAAUCUGGCAGAGGGGGGUGGAAUGCCGCGUGUAGCAGUGAAAUGCGUAGAGAUGCGGCGGAACACCGAUGGCGAAGGCAGCCCCCUGGGCUGAGAUUGACGCUCAGGCACGAAAGCGUGGGGAGCAAACAGG
RNAcentral lists this ribosomal RNA (253 nucleotides) under uncultured bacterium. RNAcentral describes it as "partial 16S ribosomal RNA". It matches the Rfam family "Bacterial small subunit ribosomal RNA", at positions 524 to 776 of the family's 1533-position model. The record is from RNAcentral.